RNAcentral lists this non-coding RNA (30 nucleotides) under Rattus norvegicus (Norway rat). The record is from RNAcentral. Lineage: Eukaryota; Metazoa; Chordata; Mammalia; Rodentia; Muridae.
UCGAAUGGCCUUUGAAGUCAUGAGUCAAAA